UCGGACAUGGUGUAUGGCACACUCUCGUCUGAUUUGUCGGGGAUAUGAUAAUAAUGAGGCCGAUCGGGGUUCGAUUCCCCGUGUCUGAA
Molecule: non-coding RNA, 89 nt
Organism: Mycena leptocephala
Lineage: Eukaryota; Fungi; Basidiomycota; Agaricomycetes; Agaricales; Mycenaceae
Source: the annotation of a GenBank genome assembly